Molecule: ribosomal RNA, 306 nt
Filed under: uncultured bacterium
Lineage: Bacteria
Description: bacterial SSU rRNA
Rfam family: Bacterial small subunit ribosomal RNA
Source: RNAcentral
GAUGAACGCUAGCGGCAGGCUUAAUACAUGCAAGUCGAGGGGCAGCAUGGUGUAGCAAUACACUGAUGGCGACCGGCAAACGGGUGCGGAACACGUACGGCAACCUUCCUUCAAGUGAGGAAUAGCCCAGGGAAACUUGGAUUAAUACCUCGUAACAUUGUGAAGUGGCAAUCUACUUUAUAAUUAUAGCUCAGGCGCUUGAAGUAUGGGCGUGCGACUGAUUAGGUAGUUGGCGGAGUAACAGCCACCAAGCCUGCGAUCAGUAACUGGUGUGAGAGCACGACCAGUCACACGGGCACUGAGACA